Photinus pyralis (common eastern firefly) is the source of this 1016-nucleotide long non-coding RNA. RefSeq lists it as uncharacterized. Lineage: Eukaryota; Metazoa; Arthropoda; Insecta; Coleoptera; Lampyridae. The transcript is spliced from 3 exons. The record is from RefSeq and is a predicted model, not a curated record.
UUAUAACUAUUUAAAUGUUUCAGCAGUGAUUAUACAGGUGUGUAUAAUCAAUGGUUUCAGACCGCAAUCGAAAGUGCUGCUUAAAAUAAAGAGAUGGAAAUCGAAGAGCAAUUUUUCCGCAAAGUUCAGAACUUUUGGAAGUAUAUGCAAGUUUUGAUGGGGGUUUUAUUCUUAAUUAGAUUCUUCAUUAAACAUAAUUUUCGAAAAAUUAAUUACAGCUAAAAGCUGUUCAGGGUUCAUUUUAAUACGCAGGUUACACCUAAGUUAAAAGUCCAGGAGAAACAGCUAAUGCUAAUUUCUAAGGCUACCGAAUUACUUAUUAGUCAGCUGUUUUUUAAAUCCGCGAGCUCGCUCUAAAAAGUCGGAUCCAGUCGUAUCAAACGAAAUCGAUAAUCGAUCAACGUAUAAAACUGAACGCACAUUUUGUUGUUUUUAUUUUGAACUUUUUGCUCGUCAAAAAUGCCAAAAGUUUGUCUUGUGCCCUUCUGCAAAAUGCGAGAACCUACUCAGGGAAUAAAAUUUUUUAAGUAAGUAUAAGUAGGUAACUAUAUAUCCAUAAAUAAAUAACAAGCAAUUGCAUAUUGUGUUACUGUAUUUUCAGGAUAACUAACGCUAGACGUGUUUUAUGGCUACAUGCUUUGGGAAGAAAUCGAGAGGACGACAUUAGUGCACAUAAUGUUAUUUGCUCUCUUCAUUUCUCCUCUGCAAGUUUUUUACCAAGUGGAAAAUUGAAAAAAGGCGCUUUGCCAACGUUGAAAUUGAGGCCUGAAAAACCUGGUUUUACUUCACUUCGUACACAUUUAGAACUUCAACAUCAAUUAACCAAACGCCAGCCUCUACUGUUGCCAGUCGCUGCAGAAGCAUUAGAACCCUUAUCUUCAAUUUCAAAUGUGAUAGAAGAAAGUGAAUCACAUGGUUUGGUAGGAUCGCCCGAAAAAAGAAGAAAGUUAAAGAGACUGGAUCACUGCUAUUGUUUGAAUCCCAUAGAACCCUUACCGUCAAAUUCCAGUGCGAUU